UGCCUUACNCAUGCAAGUCGAACGGCAGCACGGGGAGCAUACCCUGGUGGCGAGUGGCGGACGGAGUAGAUUAAUACCUCGGAACGUGUCCUGGAAUGGGGGCAUAGCCCGAGCUAAAGCCGGAUUAAUACCGCCUACGCUCUACGGAGGAAAGGGGGGGAUCUUAGGACCUCCCGCUACAGGGGCGGCCGAUGGCGGAUUAGCUGGUUGGUGGGGUAAAGGCCUACCAAGGCGACAAUCUGUAGCUGGUCUGACAGGACGACCAUGCCACACUGGGACUGACACACGGCCCAGACUCCUACGGGAGGCAGCAAUGGGGAAUUUUGGACAAUGGGGGCAACCCUGAUCCACCAAUGCCGCGUGUGUGAAGAAGGCCUUCGGGUUGCAAAGCACUUUUGUCCGGAAAGAAAACGCCGUGGUUGAAUACCCGUGGCGGAUGACGGUACCGGAAGAAUAACCACCGGCUAACUACGUGCCACCAGCCGCGGUAAUACGCAGGGUGCAAGCGUUAAUCCGAAUUACUGGGCGUGAAGCGUGCGCUGGCGGUCCGCUAAGACAGAUGUGAAAUCCCCGGGCUUAACCUGGGAACUGCAUUUGUGACUGGCGGGCUAGAGUAUGGCAAAGGGGGGUAGAAUUCCACGUGUAGCAGUGAAAUGCUGAGAAAUGUGCAGGAAUACCGAUGGCAAACGCUGCCCCCUGGGCCAAUACUGACGCUCAUGCACUAGAGCGUGGGGAGCAAACAGGAUUAUAUACCCUGGUAGUCCACGCCCUAACCGAUGUCAACUAGUUGUCUGGCCUCCAUUGACUUGAUCACGCACCUAACGCGUGAAGUUGACCGCCUGCGGAGUACAGUCGCAAGAUUAAAACACAAAAGAAUUGACCGGGACCCGCACGAACGGUGGAUGAUGUGGAUUUAUUCGAUGCAAAGCCAAACAACUUACCUACCCGUGACAUGUAUGGAA
RNAcentral lists this ribosomal RNA (962 nucleotides) under Paraburkholderia sp. RNAcentral describes it as "bacterial SSU rRNA". It matches the Rfam family "Bacterial small subunit ribosomal RNA", at positions 45 to 995 of the family's 1533-position model. The record is from RNAcentral. Lineage: Bacteria; Pseudomonadati; Pseudomonadota; Betaproteobacteria; Burkholderiales; Burkholderiaceae.